This 192-nucleotide ribosomal RNA is filed under the name Enterococcus faecium. RNAcentral's name for it is "partial 16S ribosomal RNA". It matches the Rfam family "Bacterial small subunit ribosomal RNA", at positions 1 to 181 of the family's 1533-position model. The record is from RNAcentral. Lineage: Bacteria; Bacillati; Bacillota; Bacilli; Lactobacillales; Enterococcaceae.
AUGAGAGUUUGAUCCUGGCUCAGGACGAACGCUGGCGGCGUGCCUAAUACAUGCAAGUCGAACGCUUCUUUUUCCCCCGGAGCUUGCUCCACCGGAAAAAGAGGAGUGGCGAACGGGUGAGUAACACGUGGGUAACCUGCCCAUCAGAAGGGGAUAACACUUGGAAACAGGUGCUAAUACCGUAUAACAAUC